CUUUGUAAGCCUCGGCGUCCUCGUAAAAGAGCACUAGUGUGAAAGAUACUGGGACACUUAAAAGCUUUAUCUUGGAGCCUAACUCACACAGGCCCGUUGGGCAGGCAGGCUCCAGAGACUUGGUCUUCCAAAGGCUUGGUCUUCCACCCUGACUCUUCCCUUUCCUUAGCUGUGUGUCCCCCUCCUUGCUUAACAUCUCUGUGCCUAAUUUCCUCAUUUGCAAAAUCAACAGAAGACUCCAGCUCAGAAAGUACUCCUCAGAUGAGCUCUUACUGUGUCAGUGGGGUGUCCUCGUCCUUUGGCUUAAAGCAGGAGAACAUUUCCCCAUCCCCAGGAGUCACUGGUCCGUGGUUUAUGGAGCAGGUCACUGAUGGCGUCUCUCUGGGAGAAGUGUGAGGGACUCUGUACAACUCAGCAGCAUUCCAGAUGGCGUAGGCUUCAGCACGGCCUGGGUCCUCUGGCUGCCUUGAGCUGCUAGUAUGAACAAGAAAUAGACCUUUGGGAAAAA
RNAcentral lists this long non-coding RNA (508 nucleotides) under Rattus norvegicus (Norway rat). RNAcentral's name for it is "long non-coding RNA NONRATT025741". Lineage: Eukaryota; Metazoa; Chordata; Mammalia; Rodentia; Muridae. The record is from RNAcentral.